CCUGUCCGAGCGCUACAAGUCCACUCAAGCACUGCUUGAUCUUGGGCCGAGCCAGCAACGGCGGGCCUCAAAUCUAGUGGCGGCGCUGCCUGGCUCCGAGCGUAGCAACACCUCUCGCUCUCGAGCCUGGCAGUAGGCGACCAGCAACCCCCAAUUUUCAGGUUAGCCUCGGAUCAGGUAGGAAUACCCGCUGAACUUAA
Molecule: unclassified non-coding RNA, 200 nt
Filed under: soil metagenome
Description: partial contains internal transcribed spacer 2 and large subunit ribosomal RNA
Source: RNAcentral